AAUAUUGGACAAUGGGGGCGACCCUGAUCCAGCAAUGCCGCGUGUGUGAAGAAGGUCUUCGGAUUGUAAAGCACUUUAAGUUGGGAGGAAGGGCUUUAGGUUAAUACCCUUAAGUUUUCUCGUUACCACUAGAAUCAGACCCCGCCUACUCUGUUCCAGACUCCGCGGUAAUACGUACGUUGUAAGCGUUAAUCGGAAUUACUGGGCGUAAAGCGAUCGUAGGUGGUUCAGUAAGAUGGGUGUGAAAUCCCCGGGCUUAACCUGGGAACUGCUUUCAUAACUGGUGAGCUAGAGUACGGUAGAGGGUAGUGGAAUUUCCUGUGUAGCGGUGAAAUGCGUAGAUAUAGGAAGGAACACCAGUGGCGAAGGCGACUACCUGGACUGAUACUGACACUGAGGUGCGAAAGCGUGGGGAGCAAACA
RNAcentral lists this ribosomal RNA (422 nucleotides) under uncultured bacterium. RNAcentral describes it as "partial 16S ribosomal RNA". It matches the Rfam family "Bacterial small subunit ribosomal RNA", at positions 360 to 774 of the family's 1533-position model. The record is from RNAcentral.